UAGGGAAUUUUCGUCAAUGGGCGCAAGCCUGAACGAGCAAUGCCGCGUGAGUGAGGAAGGUCUUCGGAUCGUAAAGCUCUGUUGCGGGGGAAAAAGGAAGCAGAAAGGAAAUGGUCUGCUUUUGAUGGUACCCCGCAGAAAGUCACGGCUAACUACGUGCC
Molecule: ribosomal RNA, 161 nt
Filed under: uncultured bacterium
Lineage: Bacteria
Description: partial 16S ribosomal RNA
Rfam family: Bacterial small subunit ribosomal RNA
Source: RNAcentral